AACUUUGGCAUAGAAAAGAAAACAUCAAAAGGGAAGUCAAGCUCUUUUCCUCAGCAGGACCGCAGCAGGAGCAGCUGUGGUGCUAGUCUCUUUGAGCUGUCCAACUCCAUUCUUGUCGCCGCAGCGACACCUGCACUCGCCGCCACCAUAACUGAGCAGAUACUUGGUCGUAUCCUCAAGGGCCACAACAGCUGGGUAACCCAGAUCACCACCACUCCCCAGUUCCCGGACAUGAUACUGUCUUUCUCUUGAGAGAAGACCAUCAUCAUGUGGAAGCUGCCCAGGGAUGAGACUGAUGAUGGCAUCCCUCAGUGUGCCCUUUAGGGUCAUUCCCACUUUGUUGGUGAUGUGGUCAUCUCCUCAGAUGGCCAGUUCACCCUCUCAGUCUCCUGGGAUGGAGCCCUUCAUCUCGGGGAUCUCACAACAGGUACCACGGUACCACCACACGCAGAUUUGUAGGCCAUACCAAGGAUGUGCUGAGUAUGGCCUUCUCUGACAACUGACAAGUUGUCAGUAGCUCCUGAGAUAAAAACAUCAAGCUAUGAAUAAUACUUGGAGUGUAUGCAAAUACACUGUCCAAGAUGAGAGCCAUUCGGAGUGGGUGUCUUGUGUCUGCUUUCCACCCGGUAGCAGCAAUCCCAUCAUUGUCUCCUGUGGCUGGAACAAGCUGGUCAAGGUAUGGAAGCUGGCAAACUGCAAGCUGAAGACCAGUCACAUCGGCCACACGGGCUACCUGAACACUGUGACUGUCUCUCCAGAUGGAUCCCUCUGUGCUUCUGGAGACAAGGAUGGCCAAGCCGUGCUGUGGGGCCUCAAUGAAGGCAAGCACCUUUAUCUGCUAGAUGGUGGGAACAUCAUCAAUGCCCUGCACUUCAGUCUUAACUGAUACUGUCUCUGUGCUGCCCCAGGCACCAGCAUCAAGAUCUGGGACUUGGGAGGCAGGAUCAUUAUAGAGGAACUGAAGUAGGACGUUAUCGGUACCAGCAGCAAGGCAGAGCCCUGCUAGUAUACCUCUCUGGCCUGGUCUGCUGAUGGCCAGACUCUGUUUGCCAGCUACACAGAAAACCUGGUGGGAAGGUGGCAGGUGACCAUGGGCACCCCCUAGAAAUAUAUGGCAGAGUUUUAGAAAUAAAACAUUGGUUUUCUGACUUUAAAAAACAAGCAAAAUUAAAAGGGAAGUCACAGACAUAAUAAACUGAUAAAUAUUUGUCACUUAGAACAUGAAAGGCUAACCUCCCUAACAUAGAGCUCCCCAAAAGAAAAAAGACUAACAGCCUGAUAAACAAAUGGGCAAAAGUAUAAGUUCAUUUAGUUUACAGGAGAAGAAAUACAAGUUACAUUUAAACAUAUAAAAGUAGUUCAGCCUCACUCAUAAAAAAAGAAAUGCAAAUUAAAACUACAUUGAGACACCACCUCUCAUCUAUCAGGUGGAUAAAUAUCCAAAAGUUUGCAUAAUUUUUUUGUCAAGGCUACAGGUAAAAUAGGCAGAACAUUGCUGACAGAAAUGAGAAUGGUACCAGCUCUGCAGAAAGAAUGUUGACAGUAUCUAGCAUAAUUAAUUGUGUAUUUAUCUUUGAUUAAGGAGUCCUACUUCUAGAAAUAUUUGUAUCCUAAAGAUGAACUGGCAAAAAUACAAAAGAAUACAUUUAUUCUUUGUGGCUUUAUUUGCUAUAGCCCAAAAUUGGAAAGAACACAAAUGUCCAUCAGAAAGGGAAUUCUGUGCAGCCCUAAAAAAAAGAAUUCAGUUGGGGGAGGAGAGGUGACAUCAGCAAGAUGGCAGACUAGGAAGCCCUAGAUUUCUUUCCUUCAUGGAGUAUAGAAAUUUAACACAACAAACUUACAAAAUAGAUCUGUAGAAAUCCUGAAACCAGUUCAAAGGUUCCUGCACCCCAGGCUAGCGGGAAGCCAACCAUGUGGAGGCUUGAUAGGAAAUGUGUGACACUUUUUACUCUCUCAUUAGAGCCACUCCCACCCCCACCCCUGCCCAGGGUGGAAUGUUUGGGAGGAAAACCCCAACUCCCACAUUAUCCCUAGAGAGGGAAAGGAGUUGAAUAUACCUCCAACUGACUUUUGGGGGCUGCUGCCUGAGAGAUAGUGUCUUUUUUGCUUGUAUCCAAGUACUGAUAGAAACAGAAUGCCAGGUUGGGCAUCCCUGAGAAGAAUGGCCUGCAUUAGAGUCUGCAGUACCACAGACUGACACUAGAUGGAACCCCAGGACUGGAUUUACUAUAGCCUAGCUGGCUGCAAUAUUAUAGACACAAACUCCUGAGUAGAAGCUCAGGAGCUCCUGAGUAGAAGCCAGCAACCCUCUUCAAACAGGGCAGAUUACCUACAAAAAGCACAUAGAGGACACAUACCCAGAAAAGACUUUUGAGGUCCCCAGAAUCUCUAGCCAGGCCUAGUAGAGAAAGUCAUCCUUGUAUGAAACUAGACCACAAAGUUUGGAGAGUUGGUUGAUUGCUUCAGAUGCCAAAUCCCAACAACAAAAAAUAAGACAUAUGAAGAAACAGCCAACUGUGAUACAUUUAAACUAAUAAAUUAGAUCUAUAGAAAUCAAAUCCUAAAAAAAAGGAGAUAUGAAUUGCCAGAUAAAGAAUUCAAAAUUACCAUCAUAAGGAUACUUAAUUAACUAAAAAGAAAGCAUAGAUAGACAAACAAAAUUAGGAAUAUGAUGCAUGAACAAAAUGAGAAUAUGAACAAAGAGAUAGAAACUAGGAAGAAUGGCCAAACAGAAAUUCUGGAACUGAAGAAUAACAGUACUAAAUUGAAAAUUUAUUGGCAGGACUCAGUGAAUUUGACCAGAUAGAAGAUAGAGUCAGUGAACCUGAACACAGACUUACAAAAAUUACUGAAGCAGAGAAGGCAAAAAUGAAAAAUGAAGAGAGCCCAGGGUUAUGUAUGGACAAGAACAACAACAUACAAAUAUGAGAGUCUCAGAAAGUGAAGAAAGAAAGGAGCAGAGAACCUGUUGAAGAAAUAAUGGCCAAAACUUACUCAAAUUUGAGAAAAGAAAUGGACAUACAAAUUCAAGAAACUUAAAGAAGUAGGAUAAAUCUAAAGAGGCGUACACUGAGACACAUCAUAAACUGUAAAAUGUCACAUGUAAAGUGAGAAUCUUGAAAGCAGCAUGAUUAACUUGUCACAUGCUAUGAAGACCACAAAGAAAAUGUCUAUAGAAUAUACACAAAGGGAAAUGGGAAGUGAAUCAAAACAUGUCACUACAGAAAAAUCAAUGAAACACAAAGCAAGAGAGGAAAAGAGGAACAAAAAGCUAUUAGAAAACAAUGAAUAGGAAUAGUAAGUCUUUUCAUACCAGUAAUUACUUUAAAUGUAAACAGAUUAAACAUACCUAUUAAAAGACAUCGACUGGCUGAGUGGAUUAAAAAAAAAAAAAGCAUGGGGUGGCUGGGUGACUCAGUUGGUCAAAUGUCUGACUCUUGAUUUUGGCUCAGGUCAUGAUCUCAGAGUUGUGAGACUGAGGCCCAUGUCCAACUCUGUGCUGGGUGUGGAGCCUGCUUACGACUCUCUCUCUCCCUCUGCCCCUUGCCCCUAAAAAAACAAACAAAACAUGAUCCAGUUUUGUUCUGCCUAUAAGAGAUGGACAUUAGAUCCAGAUAUAAACAGACUAAAAGUGAAAAGGUGAAAAAAGAUAUUCUAUACAAACAGGAAUCUAAAGAGAUCGAAGUGGCCAUACUUAUAUCAGACAAAAUAGAUAUAUUAAACAAAAGAGACUUUAAGACAAAAACUGCCACAAGAGACAAAGAAGGACAUUGUACCUUGUUUUCACUUAUGGAUAGAACAACCAAGUAGAGGAUCCAUAAGAAAAGAGUAGUCUUCAACAAUACUGUAGACCAACUGGGCUUAACAGAAAUAUGUAUACCACUCCACCCAAUAACAGCAGAAUACACAUUCUUCUCAAGCAAACAUAAAACAAUAUCCCAAAUAGACUACAUGUUAGGUAACAACAGAAUUUGUAACAAAUUUUAGAAGAUUUAAAUUAUAUAUCUUCUAUGAUCAAAAUGGAAUGAAACUGGAAAUAACUAGCAGAAGGAAAACAUGAAAAUCCAAAAUCAUGUGGAAAUUAAAUAACCUAUUCUUUAACAACCAGUGGGUCAAAGAAGAAAUUACAAAGGAAUUUAGGGAAUAUCCAGAGACAAAUGAAAACAAAAACACAACAUACCAAAACUUACGGGGUACAGUGAAAGCAGUACUAAGAGGGAAGUUCAUAGUGACAAGUACCUAGACUUUAAAAAAAUCUCAGCAUAUUCACAUGACUUUAUUUUAUCUCAUUUUAGUUUUGUGAAGAAAAAAAAAAAAAUCAAUGACCUAACUUUAUACCUUAAGGAACUAGAAAAAGGAAACUAAAAAACUAAAAAGUUAGCAGAAAGAAGAAAUAAUAAAGAUUGGAGCAGAGAUAAAUGACAGAAUAGAAAAACAAUAGAAAACAACAAAACCUAGAGUUGGUUUUCUUGAAAAGAUUAACAAAACUGACAAACCCUUAGCUAGAUAAACGAAGAAAACAGAAGAUUCAAAUAUCUAAAGUUAACAGUGAAAGAGGAGACAUUACAACUGAUGUCGCAGAAAUAAGAAAUAAAAGGAACUACAAUGAACGAUUAUAUGCCAACAAAUUAGAAAACUUAGAAGAGAUGGAUGUAUUUCUAGAAACAUCCAACCUACCAAGACUGAAUCAUGAAGAAAUAAAAAAAUCUGAACAAACCUAUAACAAGUGAGGAGCCAGUAAUUAAAGAAUUGAAGCACUAAUCAAAUACUUUUCAACAACAAAAAAGCACAGAACCAGAUGAAUUUAUUGGUGAGUUCUACCAAGCAUUUAGAGAAGAAUUAACAUCAAUUCUUUUUCAAACUCUUCCAAAGAAUUAAGGAGGAGAAGAGACUUCCAAUCAUUCUGUGAGGCAAGAAUGACCCAGGUAUACUGAAACCAGACAAAAACAUGACAGGAAAAGAAAACUAUAGACCAAGGGACAUCUAGGUGGCUCAGUCAGUUAAGCAGCUGCCUUUGGCUCAAGCCAUGAUCCCAGCGUCCUGGAAUCAAGUCCCGCAGUGGGCUUCUUGCUCAGUGGGGAGCCUGCUUCUCUCUCUCUGCCUGUUGCUCCCCCUGCUUGUGCUCUCUCUCUCUCUGACAAGUAAAUAAAUAAAAUCUUAAAAACACACACACACACACACACACACACUAUAGACCAAUAUUCCUCAUGAAUAUUGACAUAAAAGUCCUAAACAAAAUAUGAGGCAAAAUGAAUUCAACAGCACAUUAAAAGGAUCUUGCAUCAUGACUAGGUGGAAUUUACACUUAGAAUGUAAGGAUGGUUCGUCAUAUGAAAAUCAAUUGAUGUUAUAUACCAAAUGGAAAGUGAAGGAAAAAAGACAUGAUUAUCUCAAUCAGCUCAGAAAAAUCAUGUGACAAAAUUCAACAGCCAUGAAAUGGUAAAACACUUAACAAAUUAAGAAAAGAAGGAAACUACCUCAACAUAAUAAAAGCCAUGUAUGAAAAACCCAGAGUUAACAUCAUACUCAGUGGGGAAAGACUCAAAACUUCUCCUCUAAGAUCAAGAACAACGCAGGCAUGCCCAAUUCCACCACUACUGUUCACCAUAGUACUGAAAAUUCUAGCCAGAGCAAUCAGACAAGAAAAAGAAAGGCAUACAAAGAGGAAUUAAAAUUUCCUGUUCACACAUGACAUGUUCUUAAAUGUAGAAAACCCUAAAGAUGCCAUUAAAAAGCUAUUAGGACUAAUAAAAGAAUUUAGCAAAGUUGCAGAAUACAAAAUCUACACUCAAAACUCAGUUGUGUUUCUAUAUACUAACAAUGACCAAUCUAAAAAUGAAAUUUAAAAAAUAAUUCCAUUUACUAUAGCAUCAAAAAGGAUAAAAUACUUAGGAAUAAACUUCACCAAGGAAGUGAAAGACUUGUACACUGAAAACUACAAAACACUGCUAAAGGAAAUCAAAGAAGAUAUGAAUAAAGGGAUGGAUCAGAACUUAAUAUUGUUUAAAUGUGUAUACUAUCCAAAGUCAUCUGCAGGUUCAGUGCAAUCUCUAUCAAAAUCCCAAUGACAUUUUUUGGUUAAAAAAAUAUCCUAAGAUUUGUAUGGAAUCUCAAAGGACGAUGAAUAGCCAAUACAAUCUUGAGAAAGAAGGAGGCCUCACUUCCUGAUUUCAAAACAUACUACAAAGCAACAGUAAUAAAGAUGGUGUGGUCCUGGCAUAAAGAUAGGCAUAUAGACCAACGGAACAAAUGGCCCAGGAAUAAACCCUUGCAUAUAUAGCCAAAUGAUUUUUGACAAGAGUGCCAAGACUAUAUACAGUGGGGAAAGUACAGUCUCUCUUCAGCAAAUGGUUUUAGGAAAACUGGAUACCUACAUGCAAAAGAAUAAAGUUAGACCCUUACCUUAUAACUGCAUGCAAAAAUUAACUCAAAAUGGAUUAAAGACCUAAAUAUAUGAUCUAAAACUCUUAAACUUCUAGAUGAAAACAUAGGGGGCAAGCUUCAGGACAUUGGAUUUAGCAGUGAUUUCUUGGCUAUGACCCCAAAGGAUAGGCAACAAAAUAAAAAAUAGAUAAAUGGGACUUUACCGAACUUAAAAGGUAUUGGUGCGUCAUAUGAAACAAUCAGCAGAGUAAAAAGGCAGCCUCUGGAAUGGGAGCAAAUAAUUGUAAGUUAUAUAUCUGAUAUGGGGUUAAUAUGCAGAAUGUAUAAGGAAAAUCUACAACUCAAGCAACAAUAACAACAAAUAAUCUCAUUAAAAAACAGGCAAAAGAUUUGAACAGACAUUUCUCCCAAGAAUAUAUACAACUGGCCAAUAAACAUAUGAAGAGAUGUUCAAACAGCACUAAUCAUUAGGGAAAUGCAAAUUCCUACAAUGAGAUAUGACUCCAUUAGGAUGGCCAUUAUCAAAAGAAUAGAUAAUACGUGUUCAUGAGGAUAUGGAGAAUUUGGAACUUUUGUGCAGUGUUGGUAGGCAUGGCAUGGUACAGCCAUUAUGGAAAAUAUGGAUGUUCUUAAGAAAGUUAAAAAUAGACUUGUGUGCACACUCUCUCACUCUGACAAAUAAAUAAAAAUCUUUUAAAAAAUACAAUAAAAAGUAAUGUAAAUUUUUAAAGGUGGAAACCAUAUUAAGUUUUUUCAACUUUGACUCACUUUUUUUUUUCACUUUUUUUCACUUGUUUGCACAAGAAAAAAAAUUAGUCCCUCUUGGUUCUUCAGUUUUAAUAUUCAUUGUUGUGUGUAAUUAAUUUCAAACUCUUCCACUAGCUAUAGCCUGCUCUUAAGUUACUCUGUUCUCUUGCUUGAUUAAUCCUUGAAAAACAUAAUUUCUACCCGUAUCUCAGCAACUAAGCAUUUUCAUAUAGUCAGCAUCCAAUGUAACGUAGCAAUUAGAAACCUACCUUCAGAUACUCAGUAAAAAGUCUGUUCUCACAGUGGUAUUUUAAAAGUUUGAUUUGGGUAAACAAUUUAAUAAGGGUCCUUUUGCCUUUGCUUUGUAUUUCCCAUGUUUGGUUUACUUCUCACAUAACAUGUGACUUUCUUUCUUUUUUUAUUAUUUUUUUUAUUUUUAUUUUUUUUAUUCAUUUGAGAGAGAAAGAAUGAGACAGAGAGAGCAUGAGAGGGGGGAGGGUCAGAGGGAGAAGCAGACUCCCCGCCAAGCAGGGAGCCCGAUGUGGGACUUGAUCCUAGGACUCCAGGAUCAUGACCUGAGCCGAAGGCAGUCGCUUAACCAACUAAGCCACCCAGGCACCCAACAUGUGACUUUCUUUGGAAGUUAUCAUUGAGGAUGGGCCCACAAUGGUAACUAGGUGUCAGGGAUUUGCUUCUAUUCAAGUCUUGACAAUACCAGUCAGCUCUCAGAUGAUGGAAAACAUUUAUAUCGUUACUGAGCUUUUAAAUUGCUUUUUGUGGUUCAGGCUUCCUAUACACUUUGAAGAUCAGCUUUUCCUAAAAGUCAGACCUCUCUUGUAGGCAAAGGUGCUUUGUGAGCACUAGCAAAGCCAUGUUGAUUACUUCAUUGGAAGAAAUAUUGCAGUGUGGUUAAGAGCAUUUGCUAGGGAGCCAAAGUGCCUGGGUUCAAAUCCCAGUUUCACCAUUUAGCUGUGUGACCUUGGGCAAGUCACUUAGCCUCUCUAUGCCUCACUUUUACAACUUUAGAGUGGGGCUAACAGUAAUGCCUACCUCAUAAUUUGUUAUGUAUGGAUUAAAUGGAUUAAGAUACAUAAAGUCUAGCACAAAUUGGCAAAAGAUUGGGAAGCAUUGUGUAAGCGUUAAUUGCUUGCCUACCUUCCUUCCCAAAAGGAAUGCUUUUGGCAGGCAGGCACCAUUCGCUUAAAUGAUUUCUCACAUGCCCCUCCCCCCCCAUUAACUGACCCUCAUUCAUUCAUUACCAAGUGGGGAGAAAGAGGGCGAGAGAAAGGAGGGAAAGAAUAAAAGAAAUACAGUCAGUUGGUGACUGCCUCCACCAUUUCGGAGGGCAGAGGAGCUGCUGCAUGUUAACAGUGCCCCUUUGCUACUUGUCUCUGCUCUCCUUCCUGGAUCCUGGAUUUCUUCACAGGAACACACGCAGCCAUCUAGAGGCAAAGCUCUGUUACUAUAUGGUGGGGAAAUGUUAUGGUUUAAAUACCACAUAGAUUGAAUCAGUUACACGUAUACCAUUUUUUUUUAAAGAUUUUUAUUUAUUUAUUUAUUUAUUUAUUUGAGAGAGAGAGAGAAUGAGAGACAGAGAGCAUCAGAGGGAGGAGGGUCAGAGAGAGAAGCAGACUCCCUGCUGAGCAGGGAGCCUGAUGUGGGACUUGAUCCCGGGACUCCAGGAUCAUGACCUGAGCUGAAAGCAGCCGCUUAACCAACUGAGCCACCCAGGUGCCCCACGUAUACCAUUUUUUAACUUUCACCAGACAGACACAGUUUAGCCCAGAUUCCUAAUAACCUUGUUCAACCUAGAGAUUAGUCAGUACUUUGGUUCCAUUCCUUUUGGAUUUUUCUUGCUGACCUCAAGGCCUUUUUGUUCUGAGUUAAAACCUGUGAUCGCUGAAGCUAUCUGAAUAAUAAUUGAUUUGAUUUUGAUAGUCAUGACAAAUAUUUCUUGCCAUCUUAUCUGGUUUUUCUAAACAAGAUCCCGUGUCUUCACUUCUAUACUGUUUUCAAAAUGCAGAUCUCCUUAAAGAACUUUAUCUCCUGCUUUUGUCUAUCUUACUUCUAGCUACUGCUUUCAAAUGGGUUACAGAACUAGUGGGGAGGUUCUUCCAGGUCUCGUUAUCUUUUCAAUACAAAUGUUACCAUAUUUAAUACAAAUGUGAAUUUGUUCCUGCCCCGUCUUCUCAAAACUAUAUAUUUUAUGGAGCUUUUUGCCCUCUUCCUUCAUUGAUUCCAUUGUCUCUUCCCAAUUCCCUACCUCUUGACAGGAUAUCAGUGUGAAUUUGCACUAAUUUUUCUUCUUUAUCUACACCUUUGUUCUUUAUGGCUACAUAAUAGAUCAUUUAAUAAUUUUUUCCUAUAUUGCUGGUGUGAUUUUAGUUUCUUAUUCAUGAGAAUGAAGAAAAGAGCUUUCAUUAAGAUAAUAAAUUUCAAAUCAAGAAUUGGGAGUGAUGAUUGCUCCUGCCUGAGUUUAAUUCUUUCUCACCUGUACUUGAAUAGAGGAUAAGAUACUUUUGCUUCUAUUUAUUAGAAAUUCUUUUGGGAGAGGCACCUGAGUGGCUCAGUAGGUUAAGCAUCUGCCUUCGGCUCAGGUCAUGAUCCCAGGGUCCUGGAAUUGAGCCCCGUAUCUGGCUCCUUGCUUGGUGGGGAGCCUUCUUCUCCUUCUCUGCCUGCUGCUCCCCCUGCUUGUGCGCGCUCUCUCUCUCUCUCUCGCUAUCUCCCUCUCUGUCAAAUAAAUAAAUCUUCAAAAAAAAUUCUUUUGGGGAGUGACUAAAUUGAGGGGACCUUUAUUGUUUUGCUAUUUAGCUAUUACUUUGAAGGGUUGAAAGUCACCCUUUCAAACACCCUUUCAAACGCACCAGAGUGUUUGAAAUUUUAAAAUAGAUUAUACAUUCAGCAGACAUAUGCCAAGUGCUUAUUGUAUUCCAAGUACUGUGCUAGGCACUGGGAAUAAAAAGAAUAUGACAUGACCUCUGACUCUAGAGGACUUAAUCAUGAUGAGACACUGUAGUGUGAUGCAGAGAGUCUUAGCUUUGGAAUCAGCACAUCCAACUCUGCCUCUUACUAGAAUAUAACAAAGAGCAAGUUGUCUUAAUCUCUCUGAGAUGGUUUUCUCUUUUGUAAAAUGAGGGAGUUGGCCUAAAUAUCUCUUAAAAUCUUGCCUACAUCUGACUUUCUGUCAUUGCAGAAUGGAAUGUUUUAAGGUUACUUAAGGCUGGUGUGAGGAUCAAAUAAGAAAAAAAAUUAUGAAAGCACUUUAAAAACUAUUAAGUGUUGUCUAAACAAAGACAUUACUAAUUACUUACUAAUUUGACAUUAUUUACUAAUGCUUUUGGCCCAAAGACCAGAUGUAUUAGGUGUUAUAAAUAAGUUCCAGAUGUUUAAGGAAAAGGGUGACCUUUUCAUGAUUUUGGCUCUGAGUUCUAGGGUUAUUUAAGGGUAUGUAAUUAUCACCAUUAUUGACUAAAGUAGGUACUCUGUAAAUGUGCAUUGAUUUAAACCAUAGGUUUUGAAACUCAGUGUAAUUAUAAGGUAAAUCACAAUUCCUGUGGUUUGGAGUUAUCUCUUCCAUAUUAGCCCCACACAGGGCUUGAUCUCAGGACCCUGAGAUUAUGACCUGAGCUGAAAUCAAGAGUCGGAGGCUUAACCGACUGAGCCAUCCAGGUGCCCCUGCAUUAUGAUUCUUGAAAUUCUGGGUUAAUAGGUAAUUGUUCAUCACUAUGAAAUAAUUGUAUUUAUGCAAAUAUGACUGCAUAUUUACAGCUUGCCCUAGGACUGCUGUGUUUAAACGUAGAGUAUAUGUCAACUUUGGGUCAGUUUUCUUUGGCUUUUUGUCCACUAUACUUUCAAGUAUAUGACAUAUACUGGACCUUCAAAUUUUAUGGGUUCUUUAAAAAGUAUACCUAUCUUUUUCUAGGUUCGUAGAUUGUAAGAACCCCUGAUAAUAGGCAGAAGGACUGAGCCCAUAAGCCAAUUCAAAAAGUUGAAUCAGUAAUUAUGUUUUAAUUAUUAUUAUAGAUGUUUAUUCUCAGAUCUAAGUAAUAGUUUCAGCUCGCUGAAAUUUUUUAUUGCUAAGCAUUACGAUUAUCACUUGUCUGUUCUUCAGAAGUUUUCAUAAUGUAUACCCUUAUCUUUUGUUUGGCUUGUUUAUAAUUACUGCUAGAUAAUUUAGUGUUGAAAUGGUGAGACUUUCACUAAAAGCUGUUUCUCAAGUAAAAUUCUGAAUAUAUUUUCAUUUGCAAAGUUACUGGCAAUAAAGAGUAAUAACUAUUGCUUAUUUAAUCUGUUAGCAUUUAAGCCUACAUUAAGUUUAUGUUUAUGACUGUAUGAUUAUAAAUUUGAUUUACCUUCAGCUUUUGAAGAAUAAAACCAUAACCCUGUUUUACUGGUAAAUUCAUAUACCUAAUGACGCAUGCCUUUUAUAUAUGCUAGGAAAAUGGUGUUCAUUGUUAAAGUUAGAAUUGAGUUAGUCAACCAGAAGCGGGAACCUCUAAUUGUUUCCAGAUGCAUACUUUUUGGGUUUGGAUGCAACUCUAAGUGUUAGCUCAGUCAGGAAUUUGCUAAGCUUGUCUUUUUCCCCAUAUCCUUUCAUUAUGGGUAGAUAGAUCCAUGCUAAAAUCUCUUUUAUGAUUUCCCAUUACGAUAGUUAAUCAGAAAAAUAUGGACACAAACUCCUAAGCUAAACACAAUUUUAAAAGGCAAAAAUAAAGUUUCUGCAGGUUUCUUUUACAUUUUAUGAUCUUUGAAAUUGUUAUAGAAAUUGACCUUGGUUCUAAAUUGCUGUAUCACCAUGCGACUUAGCAAGCACCUUUCUCCUUCCACCACAGUUUCAUAACCCUCUUACAGAUAUAGCUGAAAUCCUUACAUAAUUUCAGAGUUACUGUUAGACAAAAUUAGUGUGACACAUCAGUGUGCUUUGGUGAAAUGUUUGCUGCUGUUGAAUGUAAGCAUUUUAUUAAAAUUCCACUGAAGCAGGCAACCAUUUUGAAUUUUAUAAUCUAGCAAAAUCAGUAAAUACGUCAUUGACCCUUACCAAAAAAAUACACUGUUCUAAUUAUUUCCUUAUAUCAAUUAUGAUACCUUUUAAGUUAUUUUAUUUUAUUUUAUUUUAUUUUAUUUUAUUUUUUUAAAGAU
Molecule: RNA transcript, 12270 nt
Organism: Mirounga angustirostris (Northern elephant seal)
Lineage: Eukaryota; Metazoa; Chordata; Mammalia; Carnivora; Phocidae
Gene name: small ribosomal subunit protein RACK1-like
Exons: 1
Source: RefSeq, a predicted model, not a curated record